This 347-nucleotide ribosomal RNA is filed under the name uncultured bacterium. RNAcentral describes it as "partial 16S ribosomal RNA". It matches the Rfam family "Bacterial small subunit ribosomal RNA", at positions 338 to 682 of the family's 1533-position model. The record is from RNAcentral.
CCUACGGGUGGCAGCAGUGAGGAAUAUUGGUCAAUGGGCGCGAGCCUGAACCAGCCAAGUAGCGUGAAGGAUGACUGCCCUACGGGGUGUAAACUUCUGUUAUAAAGGAAUAAAGUGAGGCACGUGGGCCUUUUUGUAUGUACUUUAUGAAUAAGGAUCGGCUAACUCCGUGCCAGAAGCCGCGGUAAUACGGAGGAUCCGAGCGUUAUCCGGAUUGAUUGGGUUUAAAGGGAGCGUAGAUGGGUUGUUAAGUCAGUUGGUAAAGUUUGCGGCUCAACCGUAAAAUUGCAAUUGAUACUGGCAGUCUUGAGUACAGUUGAGGUAGGCGGCAUUCGUGUUGUAGCGGU